This is a long non-coding RNA of Lactuca sativa (garden lettuce), 660 nucleotides long. RefSeq lists it as uncharacterized. NCBI's taxonomy places the organism in Eukaryota, Viridiplantae, Streptophyta, Magnoliopsida, Asterales, Asteraceae. The record is from RefSeq and is a predicted model, not a curated record.
UUUUGAGUUUUAACCUGAGGCUCACUAUGGAUAAUAUUGGGCCUUCCUAAAGCCUUUAUGUCAUAAUUCAAAGGGCCUCUAAAAAAUUGCUAACAAUGGAACCCUAGAAUCGCCGUUGAUGGCCGUCGCAUACGCCUCCGUUCGCUCUAUAAAUCAACUGUUGACUUGCUCUUUCAAAUCAUUCAUUCUUCAGAAUUGAAAAACAAGAAGAUGAUGAAUGACAAGAUGAAAGCUUUGUUGAUUGGAGUUGUAGGUGCAGGAAUCACACUUUCUGCCUAUUCACAAACAUACAUGACUCCAACUCAGUGUAUCGGCACUGGCCUUGUUAUACUAAUUGUAGGACUUUUUGUCGGAGAAGGUAUCCUUCCGGUCUAAUUUACUCUUUUUUGUCGUUCACAAAAAAGACUGCUUUUGAUCCUUCAUAGAUAUCUGUGUAUCUGUGGAGGGUCCAAGAAAAAAGGGACAUGUGUCUCGAUAUCCGGAUCUAGAUCCGUUGUAGUUUAUCUUUUUGUAUUUCUUUAGUUUGUAACCUUCAUGGUGAAUCAAGAUCCCUAAAAAUAUGUCAUGGAAUCAAAUUAUUAUUUUUCUUUUUCUAGUUGUAUGAUGACCGAUGAUAAAAUUUAAUUGUGUUUGGAAAAUACAAACAAUUCGAAUUGUUCA